Non-coding RNA from Paramuricea clavata, 354 nucleotides. The record is from the annotation of a GenBank genome assembly. NCBI's taxonomy places the organism in Eukaryota, Metazoa, Cnidaria, Anthozoa, Malacalcyonacea, Plexauridae.
CAAGAAAAUGCCUUUAAGAAUCGGUUGAUAUCGACAAAAAAUGAAAUUAUAUGACUCGAGGAGUGAGAAGUGCCAUGGCCCAUGACGUCCAUGCUUCAAAUGUGAAUACGAAAAACAAAGACAAAGUUUCAGAAACUAUAAAGCAUGUACACUUAAAAGUACUACAUUCUGGGAAUAACGGUGUAUGUUUGAAAAUAUUGUUUGGUUUUUGGUCAACGCUGAGCCUGAAGCCUCGAUGAUGAAGUUUUUCGAUUGUUCGAACGUCAAGAACCCUUGCCAGUUUCGGGUGAGUUUCUUUACUGUUCGUGUUGUUUUGGCAUGGAAGUUGCAGAAUAGUUUGGACUUAGGUUAGGG